AGCCGUUCUGCCUUACAGGGUUGGGACCCCGGAAGCUUAUCGGCGCGGUUGCGGCCGCGGCUCCCUGUGUUUUGAUCAGAACACCACGUUCCUGCUUAACAGAAAUUGGUCAGUAUGCGCUUAAUGCUCAUAGUGUGGCGUCCGGACACGCAGCGAGAGAAAAACGCAAUAACCUGGUCCGUCAGCGUUGCUUGCUUCAGCAGGCCUUAAAUAUGUGCUGCAUCUUUUGGGGGACGUUACUUAAGAGGCAAACAUCUGGCUCGAAGUCUUCCAUUAUUUUCAGCAAGCAUUUAGGAGGUGACUGCACUAUAAGGAGAAUAACCCACAGUAGCACAGGUUGGGAGUCUGCACAGUGCCGAGGCCAACAGACAAAAACUUUUCAACUCUUUGCUGCUCUGUCCGCUCUAAAUUUAUCUUUACACCUUCAGAGAAGAGCACCCUUCUGUUUUCCCCUCCUACCUCAAACCCAGUAGGUCAAAAUUCUUCCAUCAAUCAUUUUUACCCAUUCUAUCUCUCUCUUUCAUUUAUACAGAUUCCAAGCUGCCUUUCUUCUAAAAAAAAAAAAAAAAAAAAAGUAAAAAAACUCCUUUGACCUUGCCUUUCUAAAUGAAAUCUGUCUGUUGUUUUCAUGGCUGCACUUCUUGAAACCAUGUUCUACAAUUGCUACAUUUGCUUCUUAACCUUCUGUCUUCAGUCCAUAGCCCACCAAUCCACUGAAACUAUUCUAGCUAAGGCUACGAUACCCAAGCCUCCUAAUUGGCAGGUCUAAGGGACCCUUUCUGACAUAGGUGAUGUAAUUUACCACCAAUCUCUGUCACUUGUGACUGCUGUUUCCUCCCUGAACGUUUCUUCUCCCUGGUUCUUGUUCACAGCCCCUGAUAUUUCCUCCCAGGCUCUCUCUUCUGCCCACCCAGCAAAUGUUUUUGUUCCUUACAGUUCCCUCCUAAAUGUUCUCUGUUCUCUCACCGUGUUCUUCAUGAGUGAUGUAAUAAAUUCUCAAGGCUCUCAAAUCUGUAGUUCCAAUCUGAUGCUGUUUCCAGAGCUUCAGAUUCACAUUUUUAGUUGCCUUCUGGAUGUCACCUUGAAAUCAUUCAAAACUUCAAAUUCAGUAUUUGCAAACAAAACUGAUCAUCUUCUCUUCUUCCUCCAAGC
RNAcentral lists this long non-coding RNA (1152 nucleotides) under Homo sapiens (human). RNAcentral's name for it is "non-protein coding lnc-ARF6-5:4". Lineage: Eukaryota; Metazoa; Chordata; Mammalia; Primates; Hominidae. The record is from RNAcentral.